UGGGGAUGACGUCAAGUCAUCAUGGCCCCUAUGCCAGGGCUACACACGUGCUACAAUGGGCGGUACAAAGGGUCGCGAACCCGCGAGGGGGAGCCAAUCCCAAAAAGCCGCUCUCAGUUCGGAUUGCAGGCUGCAACUCGCCUGCAUGAAGCCGGAAUCGCUAGUAAUCGCGGAUCAGCAUGCCGCGGUGAAUACGUUCCCGGGCCUU
RNAcentral lists this ribosomal RNA (208 nucleotides) under uncultured Anoxybacillus sp. Its description in RNAcentral is "partial 16S ribosomal RNA". It matches the Rfam family "Bacterial small subunit ribosomal RNA", at positions 1174 to 1382 of the family's 1533-position model. The record is from RNAcentral. Lineage: Bacteria; Bacillati; Bacillota; Bacilli; Caryophanales; Anoxybacillaceae.